Molecule: ribosomal RNA, 397 nt
Filed under: uncultured bacterium
Lineage: Bacteria
Description: partial 16S ribosomal RNA
Rfam family: Bacterial small subunit ribosomal RNA
Source: RNAcentral
AAUCUUGCGCAAUGGGCGAAAGCCUGACGCACCCAUGCCGCGUGAAUGAUGAAGGUCUUAUGAUUGUAAAAUGCUUUCACCGGGGACGAUAAUGACGGUACCCGGAGAAGAAGCCCCGGCUAACUUCGUGCCAGCAGCCGCGGUAAUACGAAGGGGGCAAGCGUUGCUCGGAAUUACUGGGCGUAAAGGGAGCGUAGGCGGACAUUUAAGUCAGGAGUGAAAUCCCAGAGCUCAACUCUGGAACUGCCUUUGAUACUGGGUGUCUUGAGUGUGAGAGAGGUAUGUGGAACUCCGAGUGUAGAGGUGAAAUUCGUAGAUAUUCGGAAGAACACCAGUGGCGAAGGCGACAUACUGGCUCAUUACUGACGCUCAGGUACGAAAGCGUGGGGAGCAAACA